Molecule: ribosomal RNA, 253 nt
Filed under: uncultured bacterium
Lineage: Bacteria
Description: partial 16S ribosomal RNA
Rfam family: Bacterial small subunit ribosomal RNA
Source: RNAcentral
UACGUAGGGUGCAAGCGUUGUCCGGAAUUAUUGGGCGUAAAGAGCUCGUAGGCGGUUUGUUGCGUCGGCUGUGAAAUCCCGAGGCUCAACCUCGGGUCUGCAGUCGAUACGAGCAAACUAGAGUGUUGCAGGGGAGACUGGAAUUCCUGGUGUAGCGGUGAAAUGCGCAGAUAUCAGGAGGAACACCGAUGGCGAAGGCAGUUCUCUGGGCCGUAACUGACGCUGAGGAGCGAAAGCGUGGGGAGCGAACAGG